CCUACGGGAGGUAGCAGUGAGGAAUAUUGGUCAAUGGACGAGCGUCUGAACCAGCCAAGUAGCGUGAAGGAUGACUGCCCUAUGGGUUGUAAACUUCUUUUAUAUGGGAAUAAAAUGUUCCACGUGUGGGAUUUUGUAUGUACCAUAUGAAUAAGGAUCGGCUAACUCCGUGCCAGCAGCCGCGGUAAUACGGAGGAUCCGAGCGUUAUCCGGAUUUAUUGGGUUUAAAGGGAGCGUAGGUGGAUGGUUAAGUCAGUUGUGAAAGUUUGCGGCUUAACCGUAAAAUUGCAGUUGAAACUGGGAGUCUUGAGUACAGUAGAGGUGAGCGGAAUUCGUGGUGUAGCGGUGAAAUGCUUAGAUAUCACGAAGAACUCCGAUUGCGAAGGCAGCUCACUGGACUGCAACUGACAUUGAGGCUCGAAAGUGUGGGUAUCAAACAGGAUUAGAUACCCCAGUAGUC
Molecule: ribosomal RNA, 460 nt
Filed under: uncultured bacterium
Lineage: Bacteria
Description: partial 16S ribosomal RNA
Rfam family: Bacterial small subunit ribosomal RNA
Source: RNAcentral